UACGUAGGGUGCGAGCGUUAAUCGGAAUUACUGGGCGUAAAGGGCGCGUAGGCGGCUUUGCAAGUGACGGGUGAAAGCCCUCGGCUUAACCGAGGAACUGCCUGUCAGACUGUAAGGCUUGAGACCGGGAGAGGUGAGUGGAAUUCCCAGUGUAGCGGUGAAAUGCGUAGAUAUUGGGAGGAACACCAGUGGCGAAGGCGGCUCACUGGACCGGAACUGACGCUGAGGCGCGAAAGCGUGGGGAGCAAACAGG
This 253-nucleotide ribosomal RNA is filed under the name uncultured bacterium. RNAcentral's name for it is "partial 16S ribosomal RNA". It matches the Rfam family "Bacterial small subunit ribosomal RNA", at positions 524 to 776 of the family's 1533-position model. The record is from RNAcentral.